AUUGCACGCUGGCGGCAGGCCUAACACAUGCAAGUCGAACGAGUGGCGGACGGGUGAAUAAUGUCUGGGAAACUGCCUGAUGGAGGGGGAUAACUACUGGAAACGGUAGCUAAUACCGCAUACCAUCGGAUGUGCCCAGAUGGGAUGAGCUAGUAGGUGUGGUAAAGGCUCACCUAGGCGACCAUCCCUAUCUGGUGUGAGAGGAUGACCAGACACACUGGAACUGCGAUACGGUCCAGACGCCUACGUGAGGCAGCAGUGGGGACGAAUGCACACUGGGCGCAAGCCUAAUGCAGCCGUGCCGCGUGUAUGAGGAAGGCCUUCGGGUUGUAAAGUACUUUCAGCGGGGAGGCGUUACCCGCAGAAGAAGCACCGGCUAACUCCGUGCCAGCAGCCGCGGUAAUUC
Molecule: ribosomal RNA, 406 nt
Filed under: uncultured bacterium
Lineage: Bacteria
Description: partial 16S ribosomal RNA
Rfam family: Bacterial small subunit ribosomal RNA
Source: RNAcentral